AUUGAACGCUGGCGGCAUGCUUUACACAUGCAAGUCGAACGGCAGCGCGGUCUUCGGCCUGGCUGCGAGUGGCGAACGGGUGGGUAAUGCAUCAGAACGUGCCCAGUAGUUGGGGAUAGCCCGGCGAAAGCCGGAUUAAUACCGCAUAAGACCUGAGGGUGUAAGCGGGGGAGCGAAGGGCCUUGGGCUAUUGCGCGGGCGGAUGUCGGAUUAGCUAGUUGGUGGGGUAAAGGCUUACCAAGGCGACAAUCCGUAGCUGGUCUGAGGGGACGACCGGCCACACUGGGACUGAGACACGGCCCAGACUCCUACGGGAGGCAGCAGUGGGGAAUUUUGGACAAUGGGGGCAAGCCUGAUCCAGCCAUGCCGCGUGCGGGAAGAAGGCCUUCGGGUUGUAAACCGCUUUUGUUCGGGAAGAAAACCUCUAGGCUAAUACCCCGGGGGGAUGACGGUACCGGAAGAAUAAGCACCGGCUAACUACGUG
RNAcentral lists this ribosomal RNA (484 nucleotides) under uncultured bacterium. Its description in RNAcentral is "partial 16S ribosomal RNA". It matches the Rfam family "Bacterial small subunit ribosomal RNA", at positions 28 to 507 of the family's 1533-position model. The record is from RNAcentral.